Molecule: non-coding RNA, 138 nt
Organism: Arabidopsis thaliana (thale cress)
Lineage: Eukaryota; Viridiplantae; Streptophyta; Magnoliopsida; Brassicales; Brassicaceae
Product: other RNA
Exons: 1
Source: RefSeq
CGUUGACGGCGUCUUCGACGGAGAGACAAGUGGCUGCGUAGACGCCCGGGAACUUGUUGGCGAACAUCGCAACUCCGACGCCGGUGCCGCAGCAGACUAAGCCGCGAACUUCGGAAGACGAUGAAGCGGAGACGCGGC